Molecule: ribosomal RNA, 292 nt
Filed under: uncultured Acinetobacter sp.
Lineage: Bacteria; Pseudomonadati; Pseudomonadota; Gammaproteobacteria; Moraxellales; Moraxellaceae
Description: partial 16S ribosomal RNA
Rfam family: Bacterial small subunit ribosomal RNA
Source: RNAcentral
GUGCCAGCAGCCGCGGUAAUACAGAGGGUGCGAGCGUUAAUCGGAUUUACUGGGCGUAAAGCGUGCGUAGGCGGCUUUUUAAGUCGGAUGUGAAAUCCCCGAGCUUAACUUGGGAAUUGCAUUCGAUACUGGGAAGCUAGAGUAUGGGAGAGGAUGGUAGAAUUCCAGGUGUAGCGGUGAAAUGCGUAGAGAUCUGGAGGAAUACCGAUGGCGAAGGCAGCCAUCUGGCCUAAUACUGACGCUGAGGUACGAAAGCAUGGGGAGCAAACAGGAUUAGAUACCCUUGUAGUCC